Molecule: ribosomal RNA, 464 nt
Filed under: uncultured bacterium
Lineage: Bacteria
Description: partial 16S ribosomal RNA
Rfam family: Bacterial small subunit ribosomal RNA
Source: RNAcentral
CCUACGGGGGGCAGCAGUGGGGAAUAUUGCGCAAUGGGCGAAAGCCUGACGCAGCGACGCCGCGUGAGGGAUGAAGGUCUUCGGAUUGUAAACCUCUGUCAGUAGGGAAGAACGGUCACUGUGCUAAUCAGCAGUGAAUUGACGGUACCUGCAAAGGAAGCACCGGCUACUCCGUGCCACCAGCCGCGGUAAUACGGAGGGUGCGAGCGUUAAUCGGAAUUACUGGGCGUAAAGCGCUGGUAGGCGGGCUGUCAAGUCAAGGGUGAAAUCCCCGCGCGCAACGUGGGAACUGCCUUUGAAACUGGCAAACUGGAGUGUGCGAGAGGAAAGUGGAAUUCCAGGUGUAGGGGUGAAAUGCGUAGAUAUCUGGAGGAACAUCAGUGGCGAAGGCGACUAUCUGGCACAUAACUGACGCUGAGGAGCGAAAGCGUGGGUAGCAAACAGGAUUAGAUACCCGAGUAGUC